CCUACGGGAGGCAGCAGUGAGGAAUAUUGGUCAAUGGACGAGAGUCUGAACCAGCCAAGUAGCGUGAAGGAUGACUGCCCUAUGGGUUGUAAACUUCUUUUAUAAAGGAAUAAAACGAGGCACGUGUGCCUUUUUGCAUGUACUUUAUGAAUAAGGAUCGGCUAACUCCGUGCCAGCAGCCGCGGUAAUACGAAGGAUUCGAGCGUUAUCCGGAUUUAUUGGGUUUAAAGGGAGCGUAGAUGGGUUGUUAAGUCAGUUGUGAAAGUUUGCGGCUCAACCGUAAAAUUGCAAGUGAUACGGGGAGUCUUGAGAGCAGUUGAGGUAGGCGGAAUUCGUGGUGUAGCGGUGAAAUGCUUAGAGAUCACGCAGAACCCCGAUUGCGAAGGCAGCUUACUAAGCUGUGACUGACAUUGAUGCUCGAAAGUGUGGGUAGCAAACAGGAUUAGAUACCCUUGUAGUC
This 460-nucleotide ribosomal RNA is filed under the name uncultured bacterium. RNAcentral's name for it is "partial 16S ribosomal RNA". It matches the Rfam family "Bacterial small subunit ribosomal RNA", at positions 338 to 795 of the family's 1533-position model. The record is from RNAcentral.